Molecule: ribosomal RNA, 499 nt
Filed under: uncultured bacterium
Lineage: Bacteria
Description: partial 16S ribosomal RNA
Rfam family: Bacterial small subunit ribosomal RNA
Source: RNAcentral
GACGAACGCUGGCGGCGUGCCUAAUACAUGCAAGUCGAGCGGACCAAACAGGAGCUUGCUCUUGUUUGGUUAGCGGCGGACGGGUGAGUAACACGUGGGUAACCUGCCCGUAAGACCGGGAUAACUCCGGGAAACCGGAGCUAAUACCGGAUAACACCGAGGACCGUAUGGUCUUUGGUUGAAAGGCGGCUUCGGCUGCCACUUACGGAUGGGCCCGCGGCGCAUUAGCUAGUUGGUGAGGUAACGGCUCACCAAGGCGACGAUGCGUAGCCGGCCUGAGAGGGUGACCGGCCACACUGGGACUGAGACACGGCCCAGACUCCUACGGGAGGCAGCAGUAGGGAAUCUUCCGAAAUGGACGAAAGUCUGACGGAGCGACGCCGCGUGAGCGAAGAAGGGCUUCGGAUCGUAAAGAUCUGUUGUUAGGGAAGAAGAAGCGCCGUUCGAACAGGGCGGCGCGGUGACGGUACCUAACGAGAAAGCCCCGGCUAACUACGUG